Dreissena polymorpha is the source of this 984-nucleotide long non-coding RNA. RefSeq lists it as uncharacterized. The transcript has 9 exons. Lineage: Eukaryota; Metazoa; Mollusca; Bivalvia; Myida; Dreissenidae. The record is from RefSeq and is a predicted model, not a curated record.
ACGCUGUAUUCCAAAUAAAUUAAUCAGCCAAAGAGUAUUCUCAAAAGUAGUGCGGUGUUAACUCCGCCCACGAAGGGAGAUAACUUAGUCUGUUGUAAAAAAUGGCGGUGUUAAAAUUUCCCUAUUUUAUUGACGCCGACAAUUACAUCAGAGAGGAAGAAAUCAAAACGUGCGAACGUUUUGUUUUUUUGGCAAGACGUGGGUCACCGAAGUCUACAGAUAAUGGAUGCAUUUUUACAUCUGCUGUGUUUGCCUUUGGAUGGCAGUGUUCUCCAUGUAGCAAGUACAGUAUGGACUGCCAUAUUUUUGGGACAAGACCCUGAUAAACACAGGUAUUUAAGCGAGGUGCAGAUACUGGAGUAUGAUCAUCUGGUUGGUGCAGUCAAUGAGGGUGGAUUCCACUGGUCUCUUAUAGUUGUGCAACCGAAAGACAACAAAGUUUUGUACAUAAAUCCGAUGGGGGAGCAGAAUGUUUCCCAGCAACAGAUCCUGCAACAAUGGAUGUAAAUGUGUACAUUAUUUAAUUAAACAGUAAAUUUGUGCACAUUCGGCGCUUAUCCAGCAUUGAUAUGGGCGGACCAAUACAUUGGAACAUACUCUGCCCACGUCAUGCAAAACAGUCAGAUUCAAUAUCUUGCGGUGUCUACGUUUUAAAGUAAGCAGAAUGCUACCUGCAGAAUCAAUCCCUAGAGUUUGUGCUCAGCAAAACACAACUACUAGAAGAACGGAGACAAAUAGCCAGAAGACUGCUUUCUGAAGGGGAAUUCAUUGAAGGUCAUCUAGAAGAGAUAGCAAGUAGCCCAUCAGUCGAACAUGAGAACUCGGACCAGCUGGCAAACAACCCUGCCUCUGCCAUGGAGUUGGAAGGGGGGAGACACUGACCCAGUGGUCGAUCAUGUAGCAACAGCCAGGGUGAGUCAAAGCGGACACAGUUGAUGAGGAAAUAUGCAUCCAGCAUUGGAAGCACAAUUUUUCUUUAAAAAA